RNAcentral lists this ribosomal RNA (1362 nucleotides) under Triticum aestivum (bread wheat). Its description in RNAcentral is "partial small subunit ribosomal RNA". Lineage: Eukaryota; Viridiplantae; Streptophyta; Magnoliopsida; Poales; Poaceae. The record is from RNAcentral.
AUGCCUCCAGCCCACGAGGGGUCAAAUUUCAGGUUUUACACUUUGGUGUCUCGUCAAAGUGGAAUAUUAAGCCCUUUAAGAGUCGCGGAAGGGUCGGACGCUAGCCUAUGCCACGUCAAAGAUUUUACUGUUGCAGUGAAAACGCGUGGAAUUAAGAGAGAUAGAGAAAAGAGUGCUUGCCUCUCAUCCCACGAAAGUUCCCCUCUCCCACGCUCUUUCCAGGCGGCUAGGGCUGCCGCCGUCGGAGGUGCCACUGGUUCGCCGGCCGCUGCAGUCCCAUCUCCCCUUCCCUCUCCCAGGAUCCUAGGCGGGCACGCCACCCCCUCUCCCCUCUCUUACCUCGUUUCUCCCAUCUUCCUCAAAGAGGAGGAGAGGACGCAACUGGGGCGAUUCAGCGGAGUUGAGGCCGGAGCGGUGGAUCGGAGUUUGCGUCGCGGGAUGGAAGGAAGACGAGCUGCAGGUGCACUCGCUGUCGCCCCGAGCGCUUGUCCUAGGUCAUCUUUGCCUCCUCCCCGCAGCCCCGCCCCCCUGGCUGCCGCCUGGAGCACCUGGCCUUGGUCGUCGUUGCAGCUCCCCAUGGCCCCGCUCCACCACUCCACCACCGUGUUCGCCAUGACCAGUGUCUCUACAGGUCGUUGUUACUGCUGCUCUUCUUCCGUCAGGCAGAAAGGCAAAUUGCAUUGCUGGUAUUACCCCAAAAAAAUUACUUUGGUGGAUCAAGUAGGUGUUGAAUCUGGAAAUCAGGAGAUCAAUCUAUUUGUUUCCUUUGAUACUUUCUCCCAAACAUGGCCUCACUUCACGUUGCGAAGCCCUAAUGGCGGUGCCGGCACUCCUCCUGUCAAGCAGGCCAUACCCUUGUGUGUCACAGGCUUGUGCCUGACGCUACAGGGAGAUGAGCACAUCGGGUGGGAGAAAGAAGCUGUCUUUGGCCGGUUGAGAGGGUCGAUGAGUAGAGAACACUGCAGAUUCAUAGCAUGGCUCGAUUGUGGCGGCACGGUUUGGUUCGAUGGCUGGGCGAGGUCGUUGGGAAAGGAGGCGGACACGGGGAAGGUGGCACGCUCAGUGCCGCUUGACCACGUCAUCCCCACCGAUGCCGAUGAGCUCAGCCUCGGUUGCAGCGGGCUCCUGGCCAUAGCCAUGGACCACCUCGAGCGAAAGCCUACCGCGGUGGCCGACCUCUGUUUGCGGACCCAUUACUCGGGCAAGGCCGCCGCCGCCACUCGCAUCGUCACACCAACUACAAGCACUGGAUAUGGAUAUGUUGAUAAGGUUGCAGAACGCGUGACUGUACAAGUAGGUGUGGUUAACCUUCUAUUGGAGAAACAUGGAGGAACUGGCUUGCAAGGACAUGCAACAUGGUAA